GUGUGUGUUUUUGCAAUACGCGUGCAAACCUGUUAUACAUACAUAGAUUGUAAUGAAAAUAUGUGAAGGCUGUGAAGAAGAGUGUGAUAUGAUGAGGACGAGCAAAUGGCCUUCGUGACAGAGCGAGUGGUAUGAGUCAUGAGCAACUGCUGUCAAUCAACGCUCACCUGAAGCCUUUGGUCCGGAAUUCACACUCGUUUUCCUGCUCCUCGAAACGUUAAUGGCAACGAUGAGGAGGAACGGAACACUUGACAAACAGCAUGAGCAACCACAUCAAAACAGAAAAUAUUAAAUCGAUGGGCAAUGAAAUCGAUACCUACCUACCAACCUGCAUCAUCAAUCAAUCCGAUCGAUAAUCGUGUACUUGAUUUUCGUUUUAAUCACUGAGUGAGUCUUCACGUCUGUCCGUCUUCUACAUCCACAAUGGCAGCCAGUUGCACACCAGCCGAUCCUACACAGUUGGCCGAAACAGCAAACUAGCAGCGGCAGCAGCAGCAGCAAACACCACCGAGUCUCCCUUACCCAAAAUGCCAGAUGCAGCUGACAGAUAAAUGGGGACAAGGCGGAAUUGCGCGCGGCAGCAGCAGCUUGAGCUCAACAGCAAACACGUGUGUGUGCCUUAUGCUUCCGGGUCGGUUACCACCAUCACAACAAUCACUACCUACUAUACAUAAAGCGGUUAGCAGUUGCUGACGGCACCUACUACCACCACCAAUCCACACAGAUAUCUCUGCAUACACGCGGUAUUCGUAUAUCAGCUGCGAACGCAAAACAAUUACUUUUUAAAACAGAUUUACAGCAAAAGGAAAUCAUAGAAUGGAAUCUCUUCGUCUUCGUCGUGUCGUCGUCGUCAUUAUCUGCAGCUGCAGCAACUUCUCAGCAUCGUCGUAUUCUACUUAUCACUUCACUUCUUCACUUGAAUUUGGUGGCACGUAAGCCGUAUCGAUUUUUUCUUCUUGAUUAACUCUUGAAUUGCAGUUAAGAUAUACUAUGAAAUUCAAUGAACUCUCAUAUCCACACACUCCAUGAAGAGUGAGGGGCUGCACACUUAUCUACAGAUUGAUAGAGGAAUCGGCGGAGUUGGCGAACUAUCGUAUCGUAAUAUAGGAAGAAGUUUGAUAUUUGUUUGUCACUAUCGCUAUGUUUAGCAUAAAUACGUGGCCUUCAAUCUUUUUGUAGCGAUGCAUCACAGUUGAACAGUGCCUGUGAGCGUCUGGUUUCAUCAAUGGAAAGUCGCAUCCAUUCCUAGUCUGGUCUGACAGUAUAAGAUCAUGCAGCUUUAAGCGCCCGCCCUGUGGACACCUCUAAAACUUAGGACACAAAACAUUUCUUGUUUUUACAAAUAUUUUUUAGCGACGUGACGCAGUUGAACGGUGCCUGCGUGCGUCUGCAAGGAUAUGACCAUGAAUGAGCAAGCAAUACACAGACCAUCCAAUAUGUCCAAGCCAUCUUUUCUGUCAAAUCAAGUUGCACGUUUAGAAGUACGCCAGGAUUGCAAGUCGAGAUAAAGAGCUGGCCAAAAACGCGUAACGUGUUUCUUAUUACCUAACAAGAAAAAAUGUUGCGUUUGUUUCUCUUUUAGCAUGUUGGGCCAAUGGUCUGUUCGUUAAGAGCUGAAACCGAGAAACUAAUUUAUGAACGUUGAUGGAUGAUCAUAAUCAUAUUCAUAAUCCUGGAUAGCGUAAUUUUUACUAUUUCUACUCUUAAUUUGGCUCUUGUAGCCAGCCCAACUGUUUCGUAAACGUGUUUAUAUGAUUUCCAGCCAGGCGGCAAACUGAAAAUCUAAACGACAGUGAGGUGGACUUAUUGUCUUGGACAAUGGUCGGAGGAAUGAACCUAUAUCAAUAUAGCAGAAAGACGAAAGAAUCAAGCGUAAAUUUUGAGAUUAUGCCAAACAAAAAACAUUUCUUUUUGUAUUUUAUAGCAAUAUGACGCAGUUGAACGGUGCCUGCGCAUAUUGGAAGUUGUUAAUCCCAACAAAUAGGGUAAUACUUCUUGUAGUUGAAGCGAGGGAACGUCAUCUAAAGGAUUUUCAUGUAAAUUAUGCGAUUUCCUUUGUGCAAAAUUCUUCCUUUUUGUAUCUUGUAGCUAAGAACCGCAGUUGAAUGUGCCUGCGCAUAUCUGUCGGUAGCUUUCCAAGUGAUAGAGGAUAAAGAUGCCAUGUGUCGGCGAGGAAGUGAAGACUUUGUUCUUUACCUGGGGUCAUCCCCUUAAGACAUCAGCAACUAUAAAGGAUUUGUCACAGAAGUUUACUUUCUCUCUACUUUUACCUACAUCUUUCUCUCUAAGCAUGUCAUGUAUUAAUUACAGUGGCGUUUCUUGGUUGCUACCCUCCUGGAAAAAUUGCAAAGAAACCCGAAUACCUAUAGCAAAAUUCCUUGAGGCAAUGAGAAUGAAAAGCCAACUUGCAAGCAAUAUACACCUCGAGAGUUGACCAACAUCAUUCCGGUCGAUAGAUAACCCUGUGAACUGUGAAGGUCAGCCCGACACUGAAUACACCUUGAAUUGCUUAAAUAUGUUUUACAGCCUAAGAGAAAAGACGAUCUUCAAGUACUUGCAAGCUAAUACGUCCAUAAAAGCCAUCAUCACAUAUUACCAUCUCUAGAUCGAGGAUAGGCCUUCCUGCUUUAGUCACUUGGAACUCAAUUGACGACGUGAGAAAUUUGCUCGCUUACCAUUUUUGCUUUGCACUUUCACUUUUGCAGCGAUUUGUGAGGCAGUUGAAUGUGCUUAAUACUACUACAAAUUCCAUUUUGGGAACGCUCCGGAGGUACAAUAUGUACACACGAAUUCUAUUUAUUUUCCAACUCUACUAGCUCUCACACAACAAAAUCGUUAAAGGGAAUCAAAAACGAUACAUCAAGUUCAUCCAGCUAGGUACAGUCUUCAAACAAUGCCAGCACCACAACAACAAAAUGUAUAACAACUGCUCCCAGCUGCCUUUUGAUGGCCAAUGCGAGUCGAGAGUCGAGUCCAGCCAAAUAGCCUGCUGAAUCACAGAUACAGAUACAGAUCCAAGUAGAUCGUUUUGUACCUCGUACAAUUUAACGUUUUUACAUUACAGAAACGUAAGCUGCACGAUAUUGGGCAACGACGAUAGUCGUCUACUGGCUAAUGGCUAGUUGGUAGUUGAUGCACUCCAGCUCCUACGCACUAACGACCCGACCACUUGAACACAAGGAGCAGCCUCUGUUCCCCUAUUGAGGAGGCAUCACAGUCUAGCUCGGCCAAGACGAGGCUGGGUCAGCCUCAGUCCAGCACGUAAUGCAUUGCACCGCAUAGAAAUAUGCGCUCGGUCCGCGCUAAAGGGAAACAAAUGCGUUUGGACCGAGACCCGCCACACCACACAAUCACCAGCACUCGCUUAAGAGGCGAGCUGAUGUGUUGUCGUUGUUAUCGGGCAGCUGCCUGCAAGUACGCUACCGGCACUCAAGCAUCGUCGUCGUCGUCUUCAUGGUCGCCGUCGCCUCGUUCUCGCUUUCAGCAUUUUGUGCGCCCUGCAAGCCAAGUGUAUGUAUAUUGGUAGUAUAUAGUAGCAGCUAUGAAGCCUUAACGAUCCAACCUGAGGAAUUCGUGCUCGUGGCUUAUCGCAAAAGGGAAUCAAAUGCGACUAGUAUUCCAAGCAUCAGAUCAAAUCCUGUGCAGCAGCAGUCGCGACAGAUGGCAGCGAUCAAGAGAUCGAAGAACCGGCCAGACGGCGGUGGUGGUAUUCAACUGGUUCUAUAAUCUGUUGUGUAACUUAUCCGCUCACUCCCAUUUGUUAGGUCGCACAUAUUUUUAACAGAAUGUAACCCCCCCGGUAAUCAAUCAAAUCCAUCGCAAAGGGAAUCAAAUGCGAUUAGUGUUCGAUGACGAAGAAGCUAGCUAGUUGAACCAGCUCUACGCUACGCUUCGAUUUGCCAGUUGAGCGCUUAACUCCUGGUGCACCGUUCAGCAUUCCGCAAAUGGGAAACAAUUGCGAGGUGGUACUGCAGCAACGCACACACACACAGACACACUCACGCACACAUGCGGGAUUGCCUGCAUUGUGGCGGCCCAAAAAC
Molecule: small RNA, 4043 nt
Filed under: Drosophila mojavensis
Lineage: Eukaryota; Metazoa; Arthropoda; Insecta; Diptera; Drosophilidae
Description: GI26749
Source: RNAcentral